RNAcentral lists this ribosomal RNA (253 nucleotides) under uncultured bacterium. RNAcentral describes it as "partial 16S ribosomal RNA". It matches the Rfam family "Bacterial small subunit ribosomal RNA", at positions 524 to 776 of the family's 1533-position model. The record is from RNAcentral.
UACAGAGGUCUCAAGCGUUGUUCGGAUUCAUUGGGCGUAAAGGGUGCGUAGGCGGCGCGGAAAGUCGGGUGUGAAAUUUCGGAGCUUAACUCCGAAACUGCAUUCGAUACUCCCGUGCUUGAGGACUGGAGAGGAGACUGGAAUUUACGGUGUAGCAGUGAAAUGCGUAGAGAUCGUAAGGAAGACCAGUGGCGAAGGCGGGUCUCUGGACAGUUCCUGACGCUGAGGCACGAAGGCCAGGGGAGCAAACGGG